GGUUGUAGGUUGGCCGGUAUCGUGCGAAGCGCGAUGCGGCCAUGGCAAACGGGUUAGGAACACGUAGGAAUCUGCCUCGAAGUCGCGAAUAACUCGGAGAAAUCCGUGAUAAUACGCGAUGUGCUCUACGGAGUAAAGAUUUAUCGCUUCGAGAGGAGCCUGCGUCCUAUCAGCUAGUUGGUAAGGUAAUGGCUUACCAAGGCUAUGACGGGUAGGGGGUGUGAGAGCAUGGCCCCCAACAUUGGCACUGAGACACUGGCCAAACACCUACGGGUGGCUGCAGUCRAGAAUAUUCCACAAUGGACGAAAGUCUGAUGGAGCGACGCCGCGUGCAGGAAGACGGCCUUCGGGUUGUAAACUGCUUUUCUCAGGGAAGAAUUACGAUGACUGUACCUGAGGAAUAAGAGGUUACUAACUCUGUGCCAGCAGUAGCGGUAAUACAGAGACCUCAAGCGUUAUCCGGAUUAAUUGGGCGUAAAGCGCAGGUAGGCGGACAUGUUAGUCGGAUGUCAAAUAUCCCGGCUCAACCGGGAACAGGCAUUCGAAACGGCAUGUCUAGAGAUAGCGAGAAAUCAGUGGAAUUCACGGUGUAGUAGUGAAAUGCGUUGAUAUCGUGAGGAACACCAAAGGCGAAGGCAACUGAUUAGUGCUGUUCUGACGCUGAGCUGCGAAAGCGUGGGGAGCGAAUGGGAUUAGAUACCCCAGUAGUCCA
Molecule: ribosomal RNA, 712 nt
Filed under: uncultured bacterium
Lineage: Bacteria
Description: bacterial SSU rRNA
Rfam family: Bacterial small subunit ribosomal RNA
Source: RNAcentral